Molecule: long non-coding RNA, 1327 nt
Organism: Oncorhynchus keta (chum salmon)
Lineage: Eukaryota; Metazoa; Chordata; Actinopteri; Salmoniformes; Salmonidae
Exons: 3
Source: RefSeq, a predicted model, not a curated record
AUUCUGCUGUAUCACUUUCACCCAUGAAUGUAUUCUGUGCUUUCAACCAGGAACUAUCCAUCUCUUUCAGAUCAGUGGUUAUAAGGAAUCGGACAGAGAGGGAAAUAAGUCUUAGGACAUCAUUUCCACAACAUUUUCCUGUUACCUUGGUUUGACUGUGGCAAUAUCCUGUAUAUUAUUCACAGCGACCAAUACUCAUUUCAUCGCAGCUGGUAAACCCUGCCUAUAUUUCCCCUCUGUGCCCAUCUUUCCCCUCCCAUUUUCUAUGAAUAUUUUAUAGCCAUCUCCUGUCCAGUAUAGAGGAGGAACAUCCUCUAUAGCACAGCCUGUCAGCUGUGUUUUAUUAGAGGGCUGAAAUACUGCUGAAUCAGAGGUUCCACCUCUCCUCCCUCUUUAACAAUCAACUCUGUAUGUGUGUAUGCAUGCAUUCCUGUGUGUGUGUCUGUGUGUGCACGACUGUGUGUGUUCUGUUUUCAGAAAUAAUGCAACAUGUCAUGCGUAACCUCCUUUAAGAGGGUAGCCGUACAUGAGAAUGACUGUAGCAUGCAGUACAGCACCUGACUGGAUCUCAGCUAGUGGUGUAGGGAAGAAUGCUGCCUAUUGUGUUAUCACACUGGUUUAGGUGAAUCAAAAUCUAAUCACUCUAAUGUGUCCCAGGUCAGGGUCUUAAAUCACUCACACAGGCUAAGUUCACCUUCCUAAAUCUGUCAUUAAGAGAGAGGGAGGUUCUAAGAGUCCAAAGGCAAUUUCUCUGAUUGGCCAGAUGAGUCAUUGCACCUAUUGGCCCUGCCUUCAACGUCUCUCAUUGGUCGUGCAGUUUUACAGCUGACUCUCAUUGGGCCAGUAGGAGAGAGUGGGCCGGGUCUUACUCUUGUUCUCUGUGUUUGAGUGUCUGUGGAUGGGUAAGACACUCUCUCUCCCAUCCUGGGAGUAACUGCUUGUGUUAGUUCCUGUCUGUAGGCUGUGUGAGUGUGUGUUUGGGUGUGUGUGUGAGAGAGAGAAAGGGAGAGAGUAGCGUUUACGUUUCACCUCCCUGUCUCCCUGUUUCCUGUCCUUCCUCUCCUCUCUACUCCUCUCUCGUUCCCUCUCCUGGACUACCCCAUUGGGACCUACCCAGACCCCUUCCCUGCCUGGACCCUCUACUCUCCAUCCCUGUGACUCUCCUCAUCUGUCCAUCCCUCCCUGUCCCAGGUCAAGACGCCUGCUUGCCUGGCCCUUCUUCCUCCAUGCAGACCAUGGCUCUGUCUCCGGGUGGAUUUGAAGUGGAGACGUGGAAUCUUCCAUGUUAUUCUGGAAUGUGGGAUAAGACAGGGUCCCAUGACAUGGA